Molecule: ribosomal RNA, 450 nt
Filed under: uncultured bacterium
Lineage: Bacteria
Description: partial 16S ribosomal RNA
Rfam family: Bacterial small subunit ribosomal RNA
Source: RNAcentral
GUGAGGAAUUUUGCGCAAUGGCCGCAAGGCUGACGCAGCAACGCCGCGUGGGUGAUGAAGGCCUUCGGGUCGUAAAGCCCUGUCAGGUGGGAAGAAAGGCUUGGAGAAGCAACGCUUUGAGUUUGACGGUACCACCAGAGGAAGCACCGGCUAACUCCGUGCCAGCAGCCGCGGUAAUACGGAGGGUGCGAGCGUUAUUCGGAAUUACUGGGCGUAAAGCGCGUGUAGGCGGGGAUGCAAGUCUGAUGUGAAAGCCCUGAGCUUAACCUGUGAAGUGCAUUGGAAACUGCAUUUCUUGAGUACUGGAGAGGAAGGGGUAAUUCCCGGUGUAGAGGUGAAAUUCGUAGAGAUCGGGAGGAAUACCAGUGGCGUAGGCGCCCUUCUGGACGGUAACUGACGCUGAGACGCGAAAGCGUGGGGAGUAAACAGGAUUAGAAACCCCAGUAGUCC